UUUUUUUUUUUUUCUUUUUAAAUAGAAACGGGUUUUGCCACGUUGCCCAGGCUGGUCUCAAACUCCUGAGCUCAAGCCAUCCAUCGCCACCCCCACCCCCACCUAAUCUUACAAUUUGUAAGUUUGAAAUUAUAUCAAAAGUUACCAAAAAAAAGUAACAGAAAAGUUGACUUUAUUUCUUCUAUACGCACUCAAAAUGUUACAAAACCUAACAUUUGAUUACUCUUGAUUUUGCAGAUAGAAUAGUCUUCCAAAGUAGAGCGAGAGAGACUGGCACAGCUUAAGAUUAACACUGUAUCAAGUUCAUUUAUAUAAAUAGUUACUUUUGAUAACAUAAUAUAUAAAUAUACUCCCUAUAGGAAAUUAAACCAUUACAGGUAAGGCUAACUCCCUUUAUCCACCAUUGAGGCAACCACUGUUAUCUGUACAACUGUGUUCAGACCUCUUUUUAUGUAUUCAUCCACCUACAUGCAGAAAAGUAAAAUGUUUUGAGAUUUAAAAAAAUACAUAGGAUACUACACAUAUUACUCUAACAACUUGCUACUUUUACCCAACAAGACAUCCUGGAGUUCUUUCCUUUCAUAACAUAGACACACCUCAUUCUUUUUAGUUGCUAUAGAAUAUGUGUAUGAACAUAUUAUCCAUUUUCCUACCGAUGUACAUUUAAGUCGUCUCCAACUAUUCUGUUUUACCAAAAGGCAAAAUCAAACAACUUCGUAUAUGCCUUUUCUGUAAAUGUACAACUGUUGAUGUAGGGCAAAUAGGCAGAAGUAAAAAUGCAUGGAGUAUAGACAUUUAAAUUUUUAAUAGAUAUAGCCAAAACGCUCUCCAACAUUGCUUUAUCAAUUUAAACUCACAGCAACGAUGAGGAAAAUACUUAUUUCCCUAAACCCUCACUAAAGACUGAGAUAAACUUUCCUUUUUUGUAAACUGAUGAUGUUUUAAAAUUUUAUUUCCCUGAUUAAUUUUUACUUUACCAAUAUUUUCACAUUUACUGGACAUUUGUAUUUCCUUUCCUGUGAAAUGCCUAUUCGUAUCCUUUAUUUUUCUAAUGGCCUCUUGUUUUUAAGUCUGUAUGAAUUAUUUAUAUAAUCUAGACAUAAUAGAGAGGCAUAGUAGCAUAGUAGGUUAAGAGUUAACAGAAUGGACUCUAGAGCCUAUCUGCACAGUCUGAUUGAUAGCUCCACCAUUCACCAGCCAUCUAACCUUCGUCAAUUUACUUAGCUUAGCUAUUGUGUAUCUGUUUCCUCAUAAUGUGUAAAAUGGGGAUAAUAAUGGUAUUUUGAGAGUUACUGUAAGGAUUAAAUUAGGUAAUACGCAUAAAGUGCUUUAAAACAGUGCCCGGCAAAGAAUUAAGUGUUAUACACGUUUCAUUUGUCUGAAAGAUACACUGCAAAUAUUUUCUACCAAUCUAUUGUCUUUUAACUUUUGUUUAUGAGUCUUUGCUUACCUUUCCUCCAGCAGUUCUUUCUCAAUUUCUCGACCAUCAGACAUUAUACAAGUAGAUGAAACUUACAACUGACUGCCCUCACUGGAUCUCACUAUCAACUUAAGAAUAAAUUCAGGCAUCAGCCAAAGUACAUAGAUUUUUAAAAUCUUUGCACAGAUUUUAAAAUAAUAGCUAACUUCCUUACAGCAUUUUCUCACAAAUCAACAAGACAAUAAAUUAUCAGAAAUAAGGGACAAAAUAGACAAGUUCAUGUAACACACCAAAAAAAUGGAAAAAAAAAUUGGCUCUUAAAAAUAUGAAGAGAUCCUGUAACUUAAUUUCAAGCCUUAGAAAAAUUUAAAAUUUAAAAUUUAAAAAUUAGGGCCGGGUGCAGUGGCUCACAGCUGUAAUCCCAGCACUUUGGGAGGCUGAGGCGGGCAGAUCACGAGAUCAGGAGAUCGAGACCAUCCUGGCCAACAUGGUGAAACCCAGUCUCUACCAAAAAUACAAAAUUAGCUGGGCGUGGUGGCGCAUGCCUGUAAUCCCAGCUACUCGAGGCUGAGGCAGGAGAAUUGCUGGAACCCAGGAGGCGGAGGUUGCAGUGAGCUGAGAUCGUGCCAUUACACUCCAGCCUAGAGACAGAGUGAUCCUCAUUCUCAUUUAAAAGUGCAAAUUAAAACUACAAAUUAAACGUUUCUUUUAUUUCAGACCAGUAAAAAUCAAGAAGUUUUAAAAUACACCCUAUGUAUAAAGGCAUUCAUACAUUGCUGGUGAGAGCUUAAAUUGCUAUAGUUUAGCAUUGUCUUUCCAAAAUAAAAAUGCACAUAUCCUUGAAUUCAUCAAUUUAAUAUCCAGAAAUGUAUCCUAAAGACAGACACUCAUAUUAAAAACGACAGGCUUACAAGGUUAUUCUUUGUAGUAAUGUUUGUAAUAGCAAUGACUAUUAACAAACUAAGUGUCAACUAAUAGGGGACUGGCUAAACAAACUGUGGUACGGCCAAAUGAUGAAAUAUUAUGCAGUUGUUUAAAAAAUAAGCAGCUCUCUCUUUAUGUGAAAGUGAAAAAUCUUCAAGCUUUGUUGUUAAGUGUAAAAAAGCAACAUACAGAAAAAUGCGUAUAUUUUGCUACAAUUUAUAUGUUGGUGGAAGGAAUAUAUUAGUGCACAUAAAUCUAUGUUUGUAAAUGCUUAAUUUCUGGAAGAACACACAACAAAAAGGAUAUAACAAAUUGGUAAUGCUUGCUUCUGGGGAGGGAAUGGCUAGAAGAUAAUGAAAGGAAGGAACACUUUCAAUGUAUAUACUGUUUUGUAC
This is a long non-coding RNA of Macaca fascicularis (crab-eating macaque), 2739 nucleotides long. NCBI's taxonomy places the organism in Eukaryota, Metazoa, Chordata, Mammalia, Primates, Cercopithecidae. The record is from Ensembl.